Molecule: long non-coding RNA, 5456 nt
Filed under: Manihot esculenta (cassava)
Lineage: Eukaryota; Viridiplantae; Streptophyta; Magnoliopsida; Malpighiales; Euphorbiaceae
Description: long non-coding RNA (MESC_LNC005331)
Source: RNAcentral
AACUACCCAAAAACCCCUUACAACAUCACUUAAACAUGCAUAGAAAACAACCUUGAAAAGGCUGGACAGGGCACUUUCGGCGGCACCUUCGGCGGCCGAACCCUCUCUCCAGAGACGAAACUCGGGCACCUUCGGCGGCCGAAAGUCCCACUCCAGAGACAAAAGUCAGGCACUUUCGGCGGCCGAAUCCUUCCUUCGGCGGUCGAAAGUCUGCUUUCAAGCCAAAACUCAACUUUCGGAGGCAAGGUUAGGCGGCCAAACCAUGCAUCCAAAGGCAGGUUCGGCGGCCGAAACCACCUUCGGCGGCCGAACCUGAGUUCUUCCCAGAAGGGCAGAACUCAGCUUCUCAUGCAUUCAAGCCUCCCAAACCUUCCAAACACCCCAAAACAAGCACCCAACCUUUCCAAAACAUGCAUAAAUCCUUAACCAUGCACAAAGGAGCUUAAUAGCUUGAUUAAACUCCAAAAACAGCAUCAAAACAUACAUAGAUAACUUAUGACCCACAUAGGCCAAAACCAUCAAAACAACCCAAAUCCUCACAUACUCUCUCCCCAUCAUGCAUACUCACUCCCACAUGCAUAACGUAGCCUAAACAUUCAACAUAGCAUCAUAUAAACAUACAUGAGCAUCACACAACAUACAUUGGGCAUAAAACCCACAUAAAUCCUAACAUGCAUAUCUACCCAUACUCUACCAUUAAAACCUUCAUAAAACUUCAAAAGAUACUAGGAAAGCAAAGAUCUAUACUUACCUCUUGAAGAUCGAGGGUUGCAUGAUCUCUAACUCAGAGGUGUGGAGAAUCCAAGCUCCAAAAAGCUCCAAGCUCCCAAAACUUCGAUCUAAGCUUUAAAACUCUUCAAAAUAACCAUGGAACUCAUGAAAACAUGAAGGAGAUGAAGAAAAACAUGAAAACGGCCAAGGGAGGACAAAAACUCACCUGAGCUCGAGAAUGGGGAGAAAACUCGCCCAUUUCCGAUCUGAGGGGCUUUUAUAGGUGGCCUGCUGAACCACCUUUGGCAGCCUAACGUGCCCCCUAAACUCAUGCAUGUUCGGCGGCCGAACUUGACUUUCGGCGGCCGAACCUUGGCUCGUUCAAACAAGAAUUUCGGAGGCCAAAAGCACUCCCGAAGCCUUCCCAUGUUCGGCGGCCGAACUUCACUUUCGGCGGCCGAACCUGGCAAACGCCUCCUUGGUCUUUUCCUUUCAAAACUCAAUUCUUUUUCAUUUAAAACCAUGAAAUCAGGUAAAAACCUUUUAGAAAACACAUUUUACCCCUCUAGAAACCUCUGGCAUCUUCAGAAAUUCCAGAUUUCAACGGAGAUUCCGCCAGAAGGCAGGGAUUCCGAUGCUGGAAUCUAGCCGGGUAUUACAUUCUUGCCCCCUUUAAGAACAUUCGUCCCCGAAUGUUCACCAAACAAACAGGCAUUCUCAAGCAUAGCAUCAAUCAUACAUAAACAAGCAAGCAAACCAGCAAGCAAAACCUAAAAAUCUCUCUCUUGAAAGAGAGACACAGGCACUGCUGGAGUAUAAACUCCUGGGUCUUCCAAACACACCUUUCCAUACUGUGGUGAUUCCAAAGCACUUACACCAUCAGGAUUCCUUGUUCCUCAACUUCCUAACUUAUGUGUCUAAGAUCCGCACUAACUGCUCAACUUAGGUGAGAUCCCUUGAGACCUCCACCUCUGGUUCUUUGAGAACCUCACUUGGAUCUGACAUGAGCUUCCGUAACACAGGAAUCCGGAAAUCCGAAUGGACUUCUCCAUAGGAAAUCACCCUUAUCAAAAGAAACACCUUAGCAGUACCCAACCUACUCCUGAAACUCGACAUGCUUCCACUGCGCUACUCUGAUCCUUUCUCCUUCUCUCCAUCUUCACUAACUGGCUUCUUCUCACUUCUGACCCAAAACUAACUCUAACUCUCACAGGUAGUACCCGGAUUUCAGAUCUAUCUUGGAAAACAACCAGCUCCUACUAGCUGUCCCAAUAGAUCAUCCAUCCUGCAUGGGAAUACCUGCCCUUGGUAGUGACCUUGUUCAACUGCCUGAAGUUGACACAGGGUGUCAAGGAUCCAUCCUGCUUUUCCCACAACGACACUGGAGCAAUCCAGGGUGAGGUACUAGGUCGGAUAAAACUCCUGUCUACCAAGUCUCGCCUCUACUCUGACUACUACCUCUCUCUACGCAGGCGCCAUCCCAUAGGGAAGGAAAGAAAUGGUUCUGGAUCCAGACACCACUCCUACUCCAAGCUCUAACCCCCUGACAGAUGGUAAACCUGACAACUCGCCUGGGAAGACAUCUAAGAACUCUCUCUAACAACUGGCAUCGAGGCUGGUUCCCCGACCUGACUGCUAAACUCUCAACAAGAACUCGAACCCUCUGACAACCCCUCCUACGUACCCUACGAACCUGACAGGCUGACAUCAAACCUCUAGGCAUCCCUACUGUGUCCCCUCAGAAGACUAUCUCUGACCCAUCCUGUCCUCUGAACUUGACUACCUUGUCUCUGCAGACCAAGAUAGCACCACGAGCAGAAACCAAUCCAACCCUAAACUGACGUCCAGACAGUCAAGUCUAGGACCUCAAAGUCGAGUGGAAGGCAUCUACCCUCAACUGACACAGAACUGGACCGGCAGACUAACUCCGCCACAGAUGGAUCACACUCGGUUCCACUGACCCAAAGAGAACACUCUAACCCAGAAGCUAUCAACUCAACCCCUCGACGGCUCCUAGAGUAACUAAAGAAAGAGAAAAACACUAGGGUUCACAAAAACAUACACAUCAAAACAUUCAAAAGUGAGCGUACCUGACACCACCAUGUUCGAUGUGUCUGCCUCCUGCUGAGCUUGGGUGAAGAUCCGAGCUGGAGCUGACGGACUUUCUCCACGGGAACCUCCAAAAGAAAAGGCUGACCCUUUUCCUCUGCCUCGACCACUAACCUGAACCAUGGCUGGAGCUACCGGCUUAGCCGCUCUACCUGAAGCUGUUCGCUGGGGAUGAGCCACCCAGGGCAUAGUAGGACACUCACGUGCUAUGUGCCCCUCCUGCCUGCAUCUGAAACAUGCCGUUGUCCCCACCAGACAGACUCCCUUGUGCGGCCUUCCGCACCUCAAGCAUCUUGAACUGCCUGAGCCAGAGCUCGAACCACCACCUAAACCCAGACUAGCCUUCAAAUUCUUCCAAAACUUCUUCUUCGACCUUCUGAGGCCUCUGCUCCACUUCUUCGUGGUGUUUCCCCACCUUUUAUCUCUUGAGGCAGCUGUACUCAGAGUGGAGGGAUCAAUCCCUCCUGAUCCUGAGAUCCUGGAAUCCUGAGUUUGAGCAUUCUCCUGAGAAUCUCCCAUACUGACAUAUCUUCUCUGAACAUCCAUCUCCACUUCUCUCGCACUAGCUGACAUCCUUCUUGGAGCCAUUCUUUCUCUGCUUACAUCAAAAGACCUUCCAGGGUCCCUUGAUGUUCCCCAUCUGCUGACUCCCCACGACUGCGCUCUUGGCAGAGUAGGGGGAAAGGUGUCCGUACCUUCCCUCUCAGAUGGAACUCUAGUCGAUUCCACAGAUCGACGAGCACCUCGCAUUCUGGCUCCUCUGAAGAACAACACACAAGCAUGCAAUCAAUCAUUAGCAUCAUACGGUUCAUAUGAAAACACAUGAACCCACAUACAUAUCAUACAUACAUAACAUUAAUGCACAUGCAUAAAAUCAUGGCAUUUCACUUCAUCAAUCAAGACAGGACUCAACAUCCUAUCCUAGUGGACAUGAUUUUUCCUAUUGUGCUUGCCCUUCUAUGACCUCUAAGCCAACCUCUUUUCGAUGUACAACACACCGUACUCUCGAGGCCCAAAGCUCUGAUACCACUCUGUAACGACCCGAAAACUGAUACCCCUCCGUAACGGCCCGAACCGCUACCGGCGCUAGGAUCCAGAUCGGCUUAAGGCGGCCGGGACCCGUAGCAAGCCAAACAUACCUCCUAUCACCUGGUCAAAUCCCAUACAUGAUCGAAACUGCAACAUAAAAACUGAAAACAUAUGAUGUAUAGACCGAGCUUGACCUGUAUGCAACAUAACUGGUAACAUAAAGAACCCCCUACUAGAGCCCUCAUCAAAACUCUAGCUGGGUCAACAUAACAUACAUCAAGCUGGGAUUACAUACAAGGAACUAGAACCUAACCUGAGCAUGCAUCAGACCACAAACAUAAGACCUCCACUAGGGUCCUUAUCAAACACUAGCGUGGUAAACAACACAUGCCACCAGUUUAGUUCAAACAUAACUCCACAAAAAAAAACCAAAACAUACAUCAUGUAUUAAACAGGGACUAACCAAGUCUCAGGACCAAGCACAGUACUAAACCAUAAACAUAACUCUACUAUACUUUACAUUACAUAACCGUAUCUCAAAUUACAUUACAUGUCCACACUAAAAGUACUAAGCUAUUGCUAUUACAAGCCUUUUACCCUUGACGUCUUCCUGGCCUACCUCUGACCUGCAAAACUGGGGUUAGGGGAGAGGGGUGAGCUAAAAAGCCCAGUGAGUAGAACAUAUAAAACAUGUGAUAAAACAUGAUCUCAUGGAAUGCAUCACAUCACAAGUAAAUCACAUCAUCUCAUAUGGACGGAUCAAAACUCCCUCGGAUCUGUGCCCGGCCCGCAAAGGAGCUCCUCAGGUCUUUACUGUACAAUCAAAUAGUACCGAAGUACUCUGUGCCCGGCCCCUCUCAGAGGCUCCUCAGGACUUUACUGUACCCGGCCCUCGAUGGGGCUCCUCAGGUCUUUACUGUGAGGGCUAAUGUAUCCAAAACUAUGUCCGAUUUGUCACAUCAUACAAUGUACAAGGAGCAGUGCCAAGUACAAGGUUAAAUGCAAUGCCUCAUAUUCGUGUACACUAAUGCAAUCAAUCCUACUAUUCAUCAUGAUGCAUGAAACAUGCUAAAAGUAUUUGAUUUCAUAAAUUAAAAGAUUAAGUUUAAUUCUACUCACCUCUGGCAGACGCUGAACUGACUCUGCAACUGCUAAUACUGAUGGCCUCCUCGAUCCCUCGGGUCCGAUCCUACACAGGUGGACUCGAAUGAGGUGCUAACACACUCUAAACAACUCAUAAACAACUACCCAAAAACCCUUUACAACAUCACUUAAACAUGCAUAGAAAACAACCUUGAAAAGGCUGGACAGGGCACUUUCGGCGGCACCUUCGGCGGCCGAACCCUCUCUCCAGAGACGAAACUCGGGCACCUUCGGCGGCACCUUCGGCGGCCGAAAGUCCCACUCCAGAGACGAAAGUCAGGCACUUUCGGCGGCCGAAUCCUUCCUUCGGCGGCCGAAUCCUUCCUUCGGCGGCCGAAAGCCUGCUUUCAAGCCAAAACUCAACUUUCGGGGGCAAGGUUAGGCGGCCAAACCAUGCAUCCAAAGGCAGGUUCGGCGGCCGAAACCACCUUCGGCGGCCGAACCUGAGUUCUUCCCAAAAGGGC